GAUGGAGCUAUGUGGUUUGUCUUGGGAGUUGUUGUUAUAAUCCAAGCCCAAGCCUAAUUGAGAAGAUCCAAGCUCAUUUAAAAAAAAAAUAAAAGAAAAACAAGAACAGAGGAAUCGAGAAGAAGACUCUCGGUAGGAAUCUUCUUUUUCGAUUAAACCAUCGUGAUCAGGAGUCCUAGGACGAUCAGGAGUUCUAGGGCUCUUUAUAAAGAGACCCCCUUUCUAAGAGACCCCAUCAGUCUUUUUUCCCUCUUUUCCUCCCUAAUUCCUCCGAUUGAAGCCGCGGCCCUUGAUUCGUGCUCACUGUGAUUUCUCACCGGUGAGAUCAUCGGAGGUCGAGGUAAGCUUUCCUCCUCUUCCUCUCUUCUUUCUCCUUCUUCCCGUGCCUCUGUGCACGACUGCCGGCGACGGGUGUCGUCGGAUUUUGUCGGAGAAGGAACCCCUGUUUGGUCUCUUCUUCCCUUUGGUUUUCCAGCACCGGCGAUCACUGCCGACCGCCGGCCUUGCCUCUUCGAACUCGAGAGAGUUGCCUCCCUCUGCCGUCAGUUUUCGUCGUGUCGGUCGUGGCUUGAACGGUCGGUCAAGGGAGGGGACCUGUCGGUCCCCUGUUUCGGCCUGGAAGGAGCCCGAGAGAAAAGAAAGCCCGAGAGAAAAGAAAAGAAA
RNAcentral lists this long non-coding RNA (663 nucleotides) under Elaeis guineensis (African oil palm). RNAcentral's name for it is "long non-coding RNA (EGUI_LNC080967)". Lineage: Eukaryota; Viridiplantae; Streptophyta; Magnoliopsida; Arecales; Arecaceae. The record is from RNAcentral.